Molecule: unclassified non-coding RNA, 71 nt
Filed under: soil metagenome
Description: partial internal transcribed spacer 1
Source: RNAcentral
AUUGAUAUUAGUAUAUUUGUGAAACUAAACUACGUAACGACUAAAUAUUAUAGUCAAAAAAAAAAUUAUCA